UCUUCAUAUCCAAGCGCAUCUCAGGCUGUGUAGAAACAUAUCCAAGGACUCAGGGGUGAUAGUCAAUAAGGCAAUUAUCCAUGUUAACCGCUGUAGAAAACUUCAUCUCACAGAGUCACAUUUGCAGGGACAACCAUAGUCUUGAACCUCCUCCAUUUAUCACAAGAUAAAUUCCUUCUCUGAAACAUAAGUAAUGGAGGCAAUAUCUCAGAAUAAUCCCAAACAUAAUCAAGAUGCAUGCGUGAUGAUUUAUAAAAUGGUUUCUAUAAACCUCCAAGUUCCUCAUUUUUUACGAUGGCAGCAGAUGCUCGACCAAGUACUCUUAUUCCCGUUCUACGCCUCGCCUUGGUCGCUGCUGGUAGAUUUUGAUUGGAGAUCGUGCUACAUGCCAAAAAUGCUAAAGUUGCCUUUUAUGACUUAGAAAAGGAACACCAAAGCCAGUUGCUUACAUGAAACCCAUGCUCAUACUUGAAGAACCUUAGUUUUCAUUCUUAACCCCUCUGCUAAAAAACGACAUCAUGGUGUAAAUAUACUGGGAGAAUCAGCUGUUUAAUAUUUACAAAGUACAAAUUAAGACAAAAUAAAAUAAAAGAAGUUAUACAUGAAAGAAGAUGCUCCAGUUUUACUGUUUCCCUCAUCGUAGUUGGGACGUUCAGAGACAAUGCGAAUGUUCAAUAUUCAGAUGGACAAAGAAGAUAAGAUUCAGCUUCUGGAUGCGCGCCUGACGUCCCCGAGGAUCAGCGCGGCGGAGGCGAGCGCGACGACCAGGGGCCCCGCGGCGGCCGCCAGCGCCCGUCGCGCGGCCUCGGCGACGCGGCCCGCCGCCAGGUN
RNAcentral lists this long non-coding RNA (831 nucleotides) under Hordeum vulgare. RNAcentral describes it as "long non-coding RNA (HVUL_LNC020483)". Lineage: Eukaryota; Viridiplantae; Streptophyta; Magnoliopsida; Poales; Poaceae. The record is from RNAcentral.